This 492-nucleotide ribosomal RNA is filed under the name uncultured bacterium. Its description in RNAcentral is "partial 16S ribosomal RNA". It matches the Rfam family "Bacterial small subunit ribosomal RNA", at positions 29 to 507 of the family's 1533-position model. The record is from RNAcentral.
AGUGAACGCUGGCGGUAGGCCUAACACAUGCAAGCCGAACGGCAGCACAGUAAGAGCUUGCUCUUACGGGUGGCGAGUGGCGGACGGGUGAGGAAUACAUCGGAAUCUACUUUUUCGUGGGGGAUAACGUAGGGAAACUUACGCUAAUACCGCAUACGACCUACGGGUGAAAGCAGGGGAUCUUCGGACCUUGCGCGAUUGAAUGAGCCGAUGUCGGAUUAGCUAGUUGGCGGGGUAAAGGCCCACCAAGGCGACGAUCCGUAGCUGGUCUGAGAGGAUGAUCAGCCACACUGGAACUGAGACACGGUCCAGACUCCUACGGGAGGCAGCAGUGGGGAAUAUUGGACAAUGGGCGCAAGCCUGAUCCAGCCAUACCGCGUGGGUGAAGAAGGCCUUCGGGUUGUAAAGCCCUUUUGUUGGGAAAGAAAAGCAGCAGGUUAAUACCCCGCUGUCCUGACGGUACCCAAAGAAUAAGCACCGGCUAACUUCGUG